UACGAGGGGUCCUAGCGUUGUUCGGAAUCAUUGGGCGUAAAGAGCUCGUAGGUGGCUUAGUAAGUCAGGUGUGAAAGCCCAAGGCUCAACCUUGGAAGUGCACUUGAAACUGCAUAGCUUGAGUACGGUAGAGGUAAGCGGAAUUCCUGGUGUAGUGGUGAAAUACGUAGAUAUCAGGAGGAACAUCGGUGGCGAAGGCGGCUUACUGGACCAGUACUGACACUGAGGAGCGAAAGCAUGGGGAUCAAACAGG
RNAcentral lists this non-coding RNA (253 nucleotides) under uncultured bacterium. Its description in RNAcentral is "partial 16S ribosomal RNA". It matches the Rfam family "Bacterial small subunit ribosomal RNA", at positions 524 to 776 of the family's 1533-position model. The record is from RNAcentral. RNAcentral also lists the same sequence under 1 other name.